RNAcentral lists this ribosomal RNA (253 nucleotides) under uncultured bacterium. RNAcentral's name for it is "partial 16S ribosomal RNA". It matches the Rfam family "Bacterial small subunit ribosomal RNA", at positions 524 to 776 of the family's 1533-position model. The record is from RNAcentral.
UACAGAGGGGGCAAGCGUUAUUCGGAAUUAUUGGGCGUAAAGAGCUUGUAGGCGGUUUGUCGCGUCUGCUGUGAAAUUUCUGGGCUCAACCCCGAACUUGCAGUGGGUACGGGCAGACUAGAGUGUGGUAGGGGAGACUGGAAUUCCUGGUGUAGCGGUGAAAUGCGCAGAUAUCAGGAGGAACACCGAUGGCGAAGGCAGGUCUCUGGGCCACUACUGACGCUGAGAAGCGAAAGCAUGAGGAGCGAACAGG